AGGAAAAGAAACCAACAGGGAUUGCCUUAGUAGCGGCGAGUGAAGCGGCAAAAGCUCAAAUUUGAAAUCUGGCGCCUUCGGUGUCCGAGUUGUAAUUUGAAGAUUGUAACCUUGGGGUUGGCUCUUGUCUAUGUUUCUUGGAACAGGACGUCACAGAGGGUGAGAAUCCCGUGCGAUGAGAUGCCCAAUUCUAUGUAAGGUGCUUUCGAAGAGUCGAGUUGUUUGGGAAUGCAGCUCUAAGUGGGUGGUAAAUUCCAUCUAAAGCUAAAUAUUGGCGAGAGACCGAUAGCGAACAAGUACAGUGAUGGAAAGAUGAAAAGAACUUUGAAAAGAGAGUGAAAAAGUACGUGAAAUUGUUGAAAGGGAAGGGUUUGAGAUCAGACUCGAUAUUUUGUGAGCCUUGCCUUCGUGGCGGGGUGACCCGCAGCUUAUCGGGCCAGCAUCGGUUUGGGCGGUAGGAUAAUGGCGUAGGAAUGUGACUUUACUUCGGUGAAGUGUUAUAGCCUGCGUUGAUGCUGCCUGCCUAGACCGAGGACUGCGAUUUUAUCAAGGAUGCUGGCAUAAUGAUCCCAAACCGCCCGUCUUG
This 586-nucleotide ribosomal RNA is filed under the name Meyerozyma guilliermondii. RNAcentral's name for it is "partial large subunit ribosomal RNA". It matches the Rfam family "Eukaryotic large subunit ribosomal RNA", at positions 54 to 656 of the family's 3401-position model. Lineage: Eukaryota; Fungi; Ascomycota; Pichiomycetes; Serinales; Debaryomycetaceae. The record is from RNAcentral.